RNAcentral lists this ribosomal RNA (636 nucleotides) under Agrilus cf. maculifer UPOL EJ0225. RNAcentral describes it as "partial 16S ribosomal RNA". It matches the Rfam family "Bacterial large subunit ribosomal RNA", at positions 1804 to 2733 of the family's 2925-position model. RNAcentral also lists the same sequence under 1 other name. Lineage: Eukaryota; Metazoa; Arthropoda; Insecta; Coleoptera; Buprestidae. The record is from RNAcentral.
UUAACAAAAACAUGUCCUUUUGAAUAUUAUUUAAGGUCUAAUCUGCUCUAUGAUUAAUAUUAAAUGGCCGCGAUAUCUUGAUCGUGCGAAGGUAGCAUAAUCAUUAGUUUUUUAAUUGGAAGCUGGUAUGAAGGAUUGGACGAAGGGCUUUCUGUCUCUAUUAAGUAUUUUGAAUUUUAUUUUUGAGUUAAAAAGCUCAAAUGUUUUUAUUAGACGAGAAGACCCUAUAGAGUUUAAUAUUUUACAUAUUUUAUAAUAAUUGUGGGGUAGAAUUUUUAAAAUUUUUAAAUAUUUAGUUGGGGUGACGGAAAAAUUUUAUAAACUUUUUCUUUUUAGAAUAUUAAUUUAUAGGUUUUUGAUUUACUUAGGUAGUUAAAAGACUAAAUUACCUUAGGGAUAACAGCGUAAUUUUUCUAAAGAGUUCUUAUCGAAAGAAAAGAUUGCGACCUCGAUGUUGGAUUAAAGUUAAAAUUUGGUGUAGAAGCUAGAUGAUUUAGUCUGUUCGACUAUUAAAACUUUACAUGAUCUGAGUUUAAACCGGCGUGAGCCAGGUUGGUUUCUAUCUAUAGAAAUUUUAAAAUAUUUUAGUACGAAAGGACCAAUUAUUAAUUAAAUUAAUUUUAGUUUAAUAUAAAU